AAAGCAUGCUUGCCCUAAAACCUAGUAGGUAGGGUAGAUAAAUAAAUCACACAUACAGUGUAUAGUCACCAGAGGCUUAAGGUAACCUACAAGCUGGACGAUCAGCUAGCUUAUCGUCCACAGAGCUGGUUAGUUACCUCAGGAGGUGCUGGCCAGAAGUAAAAGAAAGGUGUGUAGUCACAGGGCACAGCUAAGGCACGGAGUUUUGAGAGAAGGGCACAUCCUGGAGCUGCAAAUGUGUGAGUGCUGGGUUAGGAGGACGGAUCUUCAGAUGAGACUAAUGUAGAGGGGUCCACAUCAGGUGUUUAAGAUAGAAGUGCUAAUGAAUGGAAGAAAACAUUUUGUUGAAAAGAGAUACAGCGAAUUUCAUGCUUUGCACAAAAAGCUUAAGAAAUGUAUAAAAACUCCAGAAAUCCCUUCUAAACAUGUUAGGAACUGGGUCCCCAAAGUCUUGGAACAGCGACGACAAGGCUUGGAAACAUACUUACAGGCUGUCAUUUUAGAAAAUGAAGAACUUCCCAAACUGUUUCUUGAUUUCCUAAAUGUGCGACACUUGCCCUCUC
This 563-nucleotide small RNA is filed under the name Pongo abelii (Sumatran orangutan). Its description in RNAcentral is "processed transcript". Lineage: Eukaryota; Metazoa; Chordata; Mammalia; Primates; Hominidae. The record is from RNAcentral.